Molecule: ribosomal RNA, 274 nt
Filed under: uncultured bacterium
Lineage: Bacteria
Description: partial 16S ribosomal RNA
Rfam family: Bacterial small subunit ribosomal RNA
Source: RNAcentral
AUACGGAGGGGGUUAGCGUUGUUCGGAAUUACUGGGCGUAAAGCGCACGUAGGCGGAUUAAAAAGUUAGAGGUGAAAUCCCAGGGCUUAACCCUGGAACUGCCUUUAAAACUAGUAGUCUAGAGUUCGAGAGAGGUGAGUGGAAUUCCAAGUGUAGAGGUGAAAUUCGUAGAUAUUUGGAGGAACACCAGUGGCGAAGGCGGCUCACUGGCUCGAUACUGACGCUGAGGUGCGAAGGCGUGGGGAGCAAACAGGAUUAGAUACCCGAGUAGUCC